This 84-nucleotide small RNA is filed under the name Salmonella enterica. Its description in RNAcentral is "partial RtT sRNA". It matches the Rfam family "RtT RNA", at positions 1 to 82 of the family's 130-position model. Rfam says of the family: This family represents a bacterial cis-regulatory element known as RtT RNA. The exact function of RtT is unknown although it is thought that it may be involved in changing the cellular response in relation to amino acid starvation. The record is from RNAcentral. RNAcentral also lists the same sequence under 1 other name. Lineage: Bacteria; Pseudomonadati; Pseudomonadota; Gammaproteobacteria; Enterobacterales; Enterobacteriaceae.
UAUCUCUCCGUACGGGGAAGGAUGAGAAGCUUCGACCAAGGUUCGAUUCGAGCGUCAGCGAGAAAGCGUUGCCGCAGGCAACGA